RNAcentral lists this ribosomal RNA (1475 nucleotides) under Lactiplantibacillus plantarum. RNAcentral's name for it is "bacterial SSU rRNA". It matches the Rfam family "Bacterial small subunit ribosomal RNA". Lineage: Bacteria; Bacillati; Bacillota; Bacilli; Lactobacillales; Lactobacillaceae. The record is from RNAcentral.
AUGCAAGUCGAACGAACUCUGGUAUUGAUUGGUGCUUGCAUCAUGAUUUACAUUUGAGUGAGUGGCGAACUGGUGAGUAACACGUGGGAAACCUGCCCAGAAGCGGGGGAUAACACCUGGAAACAGAUGCUAAUACCGCAUAACAACUUGGACCGCAUGGUCCGAGUUUGAAAGAUGGCUUCGGCUAUCACUUUUGGAUGGUCCCGCGGCGUAUUAGCUAGAUGGUGGGGUAACGGCUCACCAUGGCAAUGAUACGUAGCCGACCUGAGAGGGUAAUCGGCCACAUUGGGACUGAGACACGGCCCAAACUCCUACGGGAGGCAGCAGUAGGGAAUCUUCCACAAUGGACGAAAGUCUGAUGGAGCAACGCCGCGUGAGUGAAGAAGGGUUUCGGCUCGUAAAACUCUGUUGUUAAAGAAGAACAUAUCUGAGAGUAACUGUUCAGGUAUUGACGGUAUUUAACCAGAAAGCCACGGCUAACUACGUGCCAGCAGCCGCGGUAAUACGUAGGUGGCAAGCGUUGUCCGGAUUUAUUGGGCGUAAAGCGAGCGCAGGCGGUUUUUUAAGUCUGAUGUGAAAGCCUUCGGCUCAACCGAAGAAGUGCAUCGGAAACUGGGAAACUUGAGUGCAGAAGAGGACAGUGGAACUCCAUGUGUAGCGGUGAAAUGCGUAGAUAUAUGGAAGAACACCAGUGGCGAAGGCGGCUGUCUGGUCUGUAACUGACGCUGAGGCUCGAAAGUAUGGGUAGCAAACAGGAUUAGAUACCCUGGUAGUCCAUACCGUAAACGAUGAAUGCUAAGUGUUGGAGGGUUUCCGCCCUUCAGUGCUGCAGCUAACGCAUUAAGCAUUCCGCCUGGGGAGUACGGCCGCAAGGCUGAAACUCAAAGGAAUUGACGGGGGCCCGCACAAGCGGUGGAGCAUGUGGUUUAAUUCGAAGCUACGCGAAGAACCUUACCAGGUCUUGACAUACUAUGCAAAUCUAAGAGAUUAGACGUUCCCUUCGGGGACAUGGAUACAGGUGGUGCAUGGUUGUCGUCAGCUCGUGUCGUGAGAUGUUGGGUUAAGUCCCGCAACGAGCGCAACCCUUAUUAUCAGUUGCCAGCAUUAAGUUGGGCACUCUGGUGAGACUGCCGGUGACAAACCGGAGGAAGGUGGGGAUGACGUCAAAUCAUCAUGCCCCUUAUGACCUGGGCUACACACGUGCUACAAUGGAUGGUACAACGAGUUGCGAACUCGCGAGAGUAAGCUAAUCUCUUAAAGCCAUUCUCAGUUCGGAUUGUAGGCUGCAACUCGCCUACAUGAAGUCGGAAUCGCUAGUAAUCGCGGAUCAGCAUGCCGCGGUGAAUACGUUCCCGGGCCUUGUACACACCGCCCGUCACACCAUGAGAGUUUGUAACACCCAAAGUCGGUGGGGUAACCUUUUAGGAACCAGCCGCCUAAGGUGGGACAGAUGAUUAGGGUGAAGUCGUAACAAG